GGGCAUGUAGUGUAGUGGUUAUCGCGCCUCAUUUGCACGUUGGCGAGUUGAGGAGGUCCCCAGUUCAAUUCUGGGUUUGUCCA
RNAcentral lists this transfer RNA (83 nucleotides) under Ceratobasidium sp. 395. RNAcentral describes it as "tRNA-Ala". It matches the Rfam family "tRNA". Rfam says of the family: Transfer RNA (tRNA) molecules are approximately 80 nucleotides in length. Their secondary structure includes four short double-helical elements and three loops (D, anti-codon, and T loops). RNAcentral also lists the same sequence under 1 other name. The record is from RNAcentral. Lineage: Eukaryota; Fungi; Basidiomycota; Agaricomycetes; Cantharellales; Ceratobasidiaceae.